This is a long non-coding RNA of Piliocolobus tephrosceles (Ugandan red Colobus), 800 nucleotides long. RefSeq lists it as uncharacterized. The transcript is spliced from 3 exons. NCBI's taxonomy places the organism in Eukaryota, Metazoa, Chordata, Mammalia, Primates, Cercopithecidae. The record is from RefSeq and is a predicted model, not a curated record.
GACCCGGAAACACUCGGCCCGGAAGUGAAGUCGCCAGGAGGCGGGUCCGAAGAGAGGGUGGACCACGGCUGCGCGCUGGGUCCGGGAAGCGGUCGAUGCCCUCGGCCGACGGAGACUACAAGCCAGAGGCGGAAAAUAAAGCGGAAGGCCGAAGAACGAGAACGAAAGCGGCGGAACGGCAGUUUGGAGCCUAACGAGCCAUCGUCGCGUCUGGGGCUGGGACCCGGAAGUAAACAGGCCGGACGUGAUGGAAGCCACUCGGCUUAGGGAUGGUGGCUGGCCGGGUUGUCAUGGAAACCGCUCCGGAGCCGGGAGCUGCAUUCAUGACUCCGCAUAAGCAAGCAGGGGCUAACGGUUGGUUCCCUCGCCACCAUUGUACGAACAGAAAUACUGAGGCUCAAAGAGAGCCAAUGAGACGCUGAAAUCACGCGUGAUUGGAAUCCAGCCUUGCUAGAGCUGUUGGUGUUACGGGCUGUGGGCGACGGUUAAGAGCGCUAGUCAAGUGAAGCAAUGGGAGUGGAGAAGAAACAAAUCUAUAACUAGUUUUGAUGAAUUGGUUGUAAGCACCACUGCCACUGGACCAGCUAACACCAUGGUUAUCACAGGAGUGUGUCUGAGGCUGUGUUUGGCCCUGAGUGCCAGGUCUGCACCCUGCACUAAGGAUGGGUGAGGAACGACAGGCAGUCGAGCUGGUUGGUGCUACAGGCAAUGUACAGUAAGCCAUGAUGGGCAGAGGCAGGAAAUACUUAGAGAACUGGAAAGAAUAAAGGAGCCGGUGUUCUCUGCAGAGCCAGGUGAGU